This 473-nucleotide long non-coding RNA is filed under the name Brassica napus (rape). RNAcentral describes it as "long non-coding RNA (BNAP_LNC017662)". The record is from RNAcentral. Lineage: Eukaryota; Viridiplantae; Streptophyta; Magnoliopsida; Brassicales; Brassicaceae.
AAUUUGAAGGUUUAGGGUUUUAGGGUUUAGGAUUCGAAUUUCAUAAAAGUAUAUGGUUUAGGGUUUAUGUUUAGGGUUUAGAGUUGAUGUUUUAGGGUUUAGAUUUGAAGGUUUAGGAUUUAGAGUUUAGAGUUGAUGUUUCGGGGUUUAGGGUUUAGGGUUUGGAGUUGAUGUUUCAUGGUUUAGGGUUUAGAGUUGACGAUUUAGGGUUUAAAGUUGAUGUUUUAAGUUUAGAUUUAGGGUUUAGGGUUUACGUUUAGGGUUUAGAGUUGAUAUUUUAGGGUUUAGAUUUGAAGGUUUAGGGUUUAAGGUUUAGGGUUUAGAGUUGAUUUUUCGGGGUUUAGGGUUUAGAGUUGAUUUUUCGGGGUUUAGGGUUUAGAGUUGAUGAUUUAGGGUUUAAAGUUGAUGUUUUAAGUUUAGAUUAGUUAAUCGUUUGUUUUUUUUGUCAAAGUUAAUGAAAAGGUUAUAAAUGU